GCUGAUGUGGCCCAGCGGACUACGGCGCCGGUCUUGAAAACCGGUAGUGCUACGCACUGCGUGAGUUCGAAUCUCACCAUCAGCG
This 85-nucleotide transfer RNA is filed under the name Methanosarcinaceae archaeon. RNAcentral describes it as "tRNA-Ser". It matches the Rfam family "tRNA". Rfam says of the family: Transfer RNA (tRNA) molecules are approximately 80 nucleotides in length. Their secondary structure includes four short double-helical elements and three loops (D, anti-codon, and T loops). Further hydrogen bonds mediate the characteristic L-shaped molecular structure. tRNAs have two regions of fundamental functional importance: the anti-codon, which is responsible for specific mRNA codon recognition, and the 3' end, to which the tRNAs corresponding amino acid is attached (by aminoacyl-tRNA synthetases). tRNAs cope with the degeneracy of the genetic code in two manners: having more than one tRNA (with a specific anti-codon) for a particular amino acid; and 'wobble' base-pairing, i.e. permitting non-standard base-pairing at the 3rd anti-codon position. RNAcentral also lists the same sequence under 1 other name. The record is from RNAcentral. Lineage: Archaea; Methanobacteriati; Methanobacteriota; Methanomicrobia; Methanosarcinales; Methanosarcinaceae.